RNAcentral lists this long non-coding RNA (338 nucleotides) under Helianthus annuus (common sunflower). RNAcentral's name for it is "hypothetical non coding rna". The record is from RNAcentral. Lineage: Eukaryota; Viridiplantae; Streptophyta; Magnoliopsida; Asterales; Asteraceae.
AUGCGGUCUAGGACCGGCAUCAAGGCACGUAACAAGAUAAAUUGGUCCCAGGUGAGCAUAAUGUAUGGUCAUGUAAUGUCACAAAUUGGAAGGAAAUAGUCAACGCAAGGCAUGGAUAACGAGUCAAUGGAUUUAACUUGCGCCAGGUAUGUAUAAAGGUUAUGCUUUUAAUAGGAUCUUUUGGCUCGACUAGAGAGUGAUGUGUCAGAAUAAGAUAACUAAUACGUAUAUGUAAGGAUGUAUUUACAAAUUAAACUUCCAAAAAGUCAAACGGAGUGAAAUAAAAAUUAAGAAGGCAAGUGAUAGAAAAAUAGAAAGAAAAUUUUUGCCCCCCCCUA